GCUGCCUGGACUUUCCAAAAAGGAUGUUUGCUGACGGGAUGGCUUGUUGGAGGAGGAAGAUUCUGUAGAAAUUCAGUUCCCUUGUAUGUUCCCAGCCUCUGGCAGGAGUUGGGGAUAAAAUUGAGCCCGUGGUACAAUGGGGAGACAGGUGCUAAGAAGAAAAUAAACAGAGAACGUCUUGCAGUGGGCAGCCAUUUCAGGAGGUAAAUGCCGGGGGGUGGUGUUUGAACAGUGACGGAAGGACAUGAAGAAGCGAGCGUGUGAAGGUGUGGAAGAAGUACAAUCCAUGCAGAAGAACCAGCAAGCCUUCUUUCCAUCUGGCAGUAUUAUGCAAGAUUCGGAACGAAUCUCCUCCUCCUCUCUUGCCUCUUCUCUUUUCUUUUAAAAAACCAAUUGAGAUUAUUAAAACCAAGAGGCCCCUAUCAAAGUUCUUUUACCCAAAAACUUUUGUCAAGUAGAACUCAUAUCUGGCUAAGUCACCUCCCACCUCCAGUCUCUUCAUCAGUCUCUUCAUCUGUCCAAUGUGAGGGUUGAUCCAGAUGCUCAGAGGGUUUUACGGGCAGAGGGGUAACGGGAUUUGUGUUGCUCAACCUGGGUUUGAAUCCUGGCUCUGCCAUUUCCUACCAAAGCAGUUGUGACAGUGUUUUCACCUCUCCGAGCCUCGGUAUCCUCAAAGCAGCCCUUUUGUGGUUGGAUGAAAUGCCCUGAGUCGAGCCUGGUAUCUGAAGCCCACAUCUGUUUC
RNAcentral lists this long non-coding RNA (742 nucleotides) under Homo sapiens (human). RNAcentral describes it as "non-protein coding lnc-TFCP2L1-1:2". Lineage: Eukaryota; Metazoa; Chordata; Mammalia; Primates; Hominidae. The record is from RNAcentral.